GGGCCCGCACAAGCGGCGGAGCAUGCGGCUUAAUUCGAUGCAACGCGAAGAACCUUACCUAGGCUUGACAGUUGGGGAAAUCUGGCAGAGAUGUCAGGUCCGUAAGGGCCCCAAAACAGGUGGUGCAUGGCUGUCGUCAGCUCGUGUCGUGAGAUGUUGGGUUAAGUCCCGCAACGAGCGCAACCCUCGUCGUAUGUUGCCAGCGGAUAAUGCCGGGGACUCAUACGAGACUGCCGGGGUCAACUCGGAGGAAGGUGGGGACGACGUCAAGUCAUCAUGCCCCUUAUGUCUAGGGCUGCACGCAUGCUACAAUGGCCGGUACAGAGGGCUGCGAAACCGCAAGGUGGAGCGAAUCCCAAAAAGCCGGUCUCAGUUCGGAUUGGGGUCUGCAACUCGACCCCAUGAAGUCGGAGUCGCUAGUAAUCGC
RNAcentral lists this ribosomal RNA (427 nucleotides) under uncultured bacterium. Its description in RNAcentral is "bacterial SSU rRNA". It matches the Rfam family "Bacterial small subunit ribosomal RNA", at positions 917 to 1345 of the family's 1533-position model. The record is from RNAcentral.